UUUUCUUGAAGAGAUCUCUAGUCUUUCCCAUUCUGAUGUUUUCCUCUAUUGCUCUGCAUUGAUCGCUGAAGAAGUAGCACAAAGUAGUGCUCAUCAAGUAUUUCUAAAUUGAAUUGUGUGUAUGUUAAACAUUUUGUCCAAAUAAAAUCUAUUUCUGUACUUCACUGGAAAAAUUAUUGUAGACCGUGAUAAUCUCCAGCAGAAAAGAACCGAUUUUUCAACUUGAGCUUUUCAAAGUGACAUUUCUUGGCAACAAAACACAAGUUGAGUUUUCUGACAAGGGUUUCAGAGUAAUCUGUUCUUCCCCAAGUCUUACUGUUCUCCAGAGAACAUUCUCAGAUAAUAGGUGGAUCUCAUCUAUGUUUCUGCUGAUCUAAACUUUGAAUGAGCUAGAAUCUUUGGAGGGUUUAAUGUGGUUGGAAGAACAAGAAAGAUGUCCUUCAGCUCAGUUCAGUUCAGUCACUCAGUCGUGUCCGACUCUUUGUGACCCCAUGAAUCACAGCACGCCAGGCCUCCCUGUCCAUCACCAACUCCCGGAGUUCUAUUUCACCUUCAACAUUAAAAGAGCACCAGCUCAUACCAUAAGGUACUUUACUGUAUGCUCCAGAAAUCCCAGAAACUUUAUUUUUACACCCUACCCUACUCCCAUUUUCUUGAAGCUUGAAUCACUCAGAUACUUAGUGCUACAGAAUCAGCUUAGAAGAGACCUUGAGGGGGUCCAUGAAGCCCACAGCUGUUUCCCAACAUUAUUAAGGCAUAUGUUUGCCUAAAGCCAAUUCCAACUGCUGGAAUGUUCUAAGACAAAUGCUUCAUAAUCAGAACAGGCCAUUUGCUGUUUACAAUGCAUCUGGAAAGUGCUGAUACCUCCACUGUGCAGACUGCCUCAUUGUUAGUAUGGGAGUUAUAUUCUAAACAUUCUUGCCUUGAAAAGUUAUCUCUUUAAUGAUACAUAUUCUAUAAAGAUGGUGGAUUAUAAAAUUGGACAUUGGAGAUAAGGAUAAUCAUUACUAUAAACUUAAUAAUAGAAAAAUCACGUAUCAGUGUUGUCAUGAUUUUGAUAUAUUUGAAAGGAUGUGGUACAGUGAGCUGUCCUUUAAUGAAAGCAAACAAAAUGAAAUAGAUUUGUUUCUUUUUUCCCCUCUAAAUUCUGCUCAACAUUCCUUCCCUGGUGGCUCAGAGGUUAAAGCAUCCGCCUGCAGUGCAGGAGACCUGGGUUUGAUCCCUGGGUCAGGAAGAU
This 1237-nucleotide long non-coding RNA is filed under the name Capra hircus (goat). RNAcentral describes it as "lncRNA (ENSCHIG00010021356.1)". Lineage: Eukaryota; Metazoa; Chordata; Mammalia; Artiodactyla; Bovidae. The record is from RNAcentral.